UUUCAAAACCUAUUUUCACAUAAAAUAGUGAAGAAGAAUUUAAAGAAUUUACAUCCUACAAUAACCACUUCUCCAUCUCACGAUCGACAACCCACACCUAGUCGGAAUACAUUUCAAGUUCAAUAUCCGACAAUUCAUAUUUGGCUCCAACUUCAAAUUGAGGUAAAUAUCAUUUUCAUUUUUUUAGAUUUAAAUGUUUUGAAUAAUUUGUGCUGUAUUUAUGUUACGAUUGGUUGCAAUUUGAUGUUGAGGGGAAAAAAAUUAAUACAAAGGGUUUCAAUUUAAUAAGCGAUCAUAUUCAAAUUUCAAAAAAAAAAAAGAAAAAAAAGAGAGAUUUUCAAGCAUUUUCCAUGUAAUGAUGCGUAGAAUUUUUUGGUUUGAGAAAAAUCUAGAAUUUUUUCUUUAGUUAUUCCCCUUUUUAUUUGGUGUUUUCCUUUCUAUUUAUAAGCCUUUUCAUUUAUCUAUACAUUUUAAUACUUUUUACCUGGUCAUUGAUUCAAUUUUGGAUGAAUAAGGAGUUAUGAUUGUUAUGUGAUUAAGUUUUCUCAAAUACUUAAUUAUUUGAUUUGUAAGUACAAUAAUUUAAAUGCAUAUGAUGGGAGUUUUUUUAUCUUUUACUGACAGUGAACUAUUGAAUUGAUUUAUGGUCAAUUCACAUGUCGUUUGGAUAAAAUUUUUGAGUUCAAUUUAAAUGUGGGCUGAAUUUUUGAGUUGAUAUGUUUUUAAAUUUGAUGUAAUGUGGUUAAAUAUGAGGAUUCAAAUAUCUAAUUCAUGUUAGCAUAUGGAGAAUUCACAUGUAGUUCUUAUGGAACCCAUCUGUCGAGAAUCAAGAUAGACUAUGAUUCUUGACAAUUAUGAUGUGAAAUUCUAGACAGUUGGUUAUUGUUUCUGGACAGUUAUGAUAUAAUGUCAAACUUGUUUCAUUUGCUCUUCUACGUAUGUUACGAAGUAAAUGUAUUACAUAUCAUCACUUGACCUUUGGUAUUUGUUCAUGUUACUGGUUUUUGAAUGGAUUGACAAAUUAUGAUGUCAUUGGAGGAGUGCCUGAAGGGUACAUCGAUGCCGUCUUCUUGUAAAAGAGUUGCAUCAGAGGUGCCCUCAAAUGCUAUCAAUCCAAUUGAAAAUGAAGAAGUGGUGGUGACAAAGAAGCAACGCUCGAUGCAAAUUUGAGUAUCGUCUACUUUGAAUCGAACUCCAUACAUUAGGAGCAGUAAAAAGAGAGGACAAUAUGAAAUAAUUGAAAUUUGUUUAACGGAAAACGAUGUCGUCCAUUUUUGAAAGGUUAAGAAUAGUGGACCCGUUCGGGUUAUGAAACUUAAGUAUAUAAUCUUUGUACUUUGAUGAUGGAAAAUGUUGUGUAACUUAUUUUAAUAUUUGUGUAGUAUACGAAAAUAUAAUUGUUUAGCCAG
RNAcentral lists this long non-coding RNA (1409 nucleotides) under Olea europaea subsp. europaea. The record is from RNAcentral. Lineage: Eukaryota; Viridiplantae; Streptophyta; Magnoliopsida; Lamiales; Oleaceae.